CAGCGUCUCAUUUUUUUCUCUCUCACGACUUCACUCUCUUUCUCUCACGAUUUCGAAGGAGAAAAAAAAGAGAAACACCAAAUCUCUUCUUAAUCUUCGAUCUCCCUCAUUCAUCUCUAACCUCUGUUUCUUGUAACUCGAUUCCUAAAUUUUCAAAGCCCCAGAUCGAUUCGAAGGAAACUAUCAAAUCGACUCGAACCCUAAACCAUCAAAGUCUCGAAAUUAUGUCUUCUGAAGAUCACAUCGACAUGGACUCUGAGCCAAUUCCUCAAUCAUGAAAUGAUUCUCGGAAUUCAAUAGCACCUUCUCAGUGAUCUUCAUCUUGGAAUGAAAUGGAAUGUAUGCAUCGUUGUUUCUUGCCUUGAUAGGAACCAGAAGUUGAAGCCUUUGGCUUGGUAUUUUGCUAUUUUCAGAAGUUGCACUUAUGACUCUCCUCUUUAUUUCAAUCAGACUUAAAUUUGGAUGUUUUGGGUUAUGUUAUGCUUCUCUUAUGAACUUUUAUUGCUUAGACUUGAAGUAGAAACUGGUUUGUAAUAUUAUUGUCGUUUUUUGUUGGAUUUGGUCUAUUUCGGUUCAAAUUAACCGAAAUAGAAAUCA
Arabidopsis lyrata subsp. lyrata is the source of this 597-nucleotide long non-coding RNA. RefSeq lists it as uncharacterized. Lineage: Eukaryota; Viridiplantae; Streptophyta; Magnoliopsida; Brassicales; Brassicaceae. The transcript is spliced from 4 exons. The record is from RefSeq and is a predicted model, not a curated record.